Acanthosepion pharaonis is the source of this 103-nucleotide non-coding RNA. Lineage: Eukaryota; Metazoa; Mollusca; Cephalopoda; Sepiida; Sepiidae. The record is from the annotation of a GenBank genome assembly.
UCACGUUGAAACACCUGUUACUGUACGAUAUCCGAAGUUAAGCAACAUCAAGCCUUGUCAGUACCUAAAUAGGUGACUUCUUGAGAAUACCAGGUGCUGCAAG